AGGUUAACCGAAUAGGGGAGCCGAAGGGAAACCGAGUCUUAACUGGGCGUUAAGUUGCAGGGUAUAGACCCGAAACCCGGUGAUCUAGCCAUGGGCAGGUUGAAGGUUGGGUAACACUAACUGGAGGACCGAACCGACUAAUGUUGAAAAAUUAGCGGAUGACUUGUGGCUGGGGGUGAAAGGCCAAUCAAACCGGGAGAUAGCUGGUUCUCCCCGAAAGCUAUUUAGGUAGCGCCUCGUGAAUUCAUCUCCGGGGGUAGAGCACUGUUUCGGCAAGGGGGUCAUCCCGACUUACCAACCCGAUGCAAACUGCGAAUACCGGAGAAUGUUAUCACGGGAGACACACGGCGGGUGCUAACGUCCGUCGUGAAGAGGGAAACAACCCAGACCGCCAGCUAAGGUCCCAAAGUCAUGGUUAAGUGGGAAACGAUGUGGGAAGGCCCAGACAGCCAGGAUGUUGGCUUAGAAGCAGCCAUCAUUUAAAGAAAGCGUAAUAGCUCACUGGUCGAGUCGGCCUGCGCGGAAGAUGUAACGGGGCUAAACCAUGCACCGAAGCUGCGGCAGCGACACUAUGUGUUGUUGGGUAGGGGAGCGUUCUGUAAGCCUGUGAAGGUGGCCUGUGAGGGUUGCUGGAGGUAUCAGAAGUGCGAAUGCUGACAUAAGUAACGAUAAAGCGGGUGAAAAGCCCGCUCGCCGGAAGACCAAGGGUUCCUGUCCAACGUUAAUCGGGGCAGGGUGAGUCGACCCCUAAGGCGAGGCCGAAAGGCGUAGUCGAUGGGAAACAGGUUAAUAUUCCUGUACUUGGUGUUACUGCGAAGGGGGGACGGAGAAGGCUAUGUUGGCCGGGCGACGGUUGUCCCGGUUUAAGCGUGUAGGCUGGUUUUCCAGGCAAAUCCGGAAAACCAAGGCUGAGGCGUGAUGACGAGGCACUACGGUGCUGAAGCGACAAAUGCCCUGCUUCCAGGAAAAGCCUCUAAGCAUCAGGUAACAUCAAAUCGUACCCCAAACCGACACAGGUGGUCAGGUAGAGAAUACCAAGGCGCUUGAGAGAACUCGGGUGAAGGAACUAGGCAAAAUGGUGCCGUAACUUCGGGAGAAGGCACGCUGAUAUGUAGGUGAAGCGACUUGCUCGUGGAGCUGAAAUCAGUCGAAGAUACCAGCUGGCUGCAACUGUUUAUUAAAAACACAGCACUGUGCAAACACGAAAGUGGACGUAUACGGUGUGACGCCUGCCCGGUGCCGGAAGGUUAAUUGAUGGGGUUAGCGGUAACGCGAAGCUCUUGAUCGAAGCCCCGGUAAACGGCGGCCGUAACUAUAACGGUCCUAAGGUAGCGAAAUUCCUUGUCGGGUAAGUUCCGACCUGCACGAAUGGCGUAAUGAUGGCCAGGCUGUCUCCACCCGAGACUCAGUGAAAUUGAACUCGCUGUGAAGAUGCAGUGUACCCGCGGCAAGACGGAAAGACCCCGUGAACCUUUACUAUAGCUUGACACUGAACAUUGAGCCUUGAUGUGUAGGAUAGGUGGGAGGCUUUGAAGUGUGGACGCCAGUCUGCAUGGAGCCGACCUUGAAAUACCACCCUUUAAUGUUUGAUGUUCUAACGUUGGCCCGUAAUCCGGGUUGCGGACAGUGUCUGGUGGGUAGUUUGACUGGGGCGGUCUCCUCCUAAAGAGUAACGGAGGAGCACGAAGGUUGGCUAAUCCUGGUCGGACAUCAGGAGGUUAGUGCAAUGGCAUAAGCCAGCUUGACUGCGAGCGUGACGGCGCGAGCAGGUGCGAAAGCAGGUCAUAGUGAUCCGGUGGUUCUGAAUGGAAGGGCCAUCGCUCAACGGAUAAAAGGUACUCCGGGGAUAACAGGCUGAUACCGCCCAAGAGUUCAUAUCGACGGCGGUGUUUGGCACCUCGAUGUCGGCUCAUCACAUCCUGGGGCUGAAGUAGGUCCCAAGGGUAUGGCUGUUCGCCAUUUAAAGUGGUACGCGAGCUGGGUUUAGAACGUCGUGAGACAGUUCGGUCCCUAUCUGCCGUGGGCGCUGGAGAACUGAGGGGGGCUGCUCCUAGUACGAGAGGACCGGAGUGGA
RNAcentral lists this ribosomal RNA (2074 nucleotides) under Escherichia coli. RNAcentral describes it as "partial 23S ribosomal RNA". It matches the Rfam family "Bacterial large subunit ribosomal RNA", at positions 643 to 2701 of the family's 2925-position model. The record is from RNAcentral. Lineage: Bacteria; Pseudomonadati; Pseudomonadota; Gammaproteobacteria; Enterobacterales; Enterobacteriaceae.